This 415-nucleotide ribosomal RNA is filed under the name uncultured bacterium. Its description in RNAcentral is "bacterial SSU rRNA". It matches the Rfam family "Bacterial small subunit ribosomal RNA", at positions 355 to 767 of the family's 1533-position model. The record is from RNAcentral.
UGAGGAAUAUUGGUCAAUGGGGGCAACCCUGAACCAGCCAAGUCGCGUGAAGGAUGAAGGUCUUAUGGAUUGUAAACUUCUUUUAUACAGGAAUAAAUUGGGGGACGUGUCCCCUUUUGCAUGUACUGUAUGAAUAAGGAUCGGCUAACUCCGUGCCAGCAGCCGCGGUAAUACGGAGGAUCCGAGCGUUAUCCGGAUUUAUUGGGUUUAAAGGGUGCGCAGGCGGGAUGUUAAGUCGGCGGUGAAAUUUUGCAGCUCAACUGUAAAAGUGCCUUCGAUACUGGCUUCCUUGAGUGUAGAUGAAGGAGGCGGAAUUUGUGGUGUAGCGGUGAAAUGCUUAGAUAUCACGAGGAACUCCGAUUGCGCAGGCAGCUUACUAAACUACAACUGACGCUCAUGCACGAAGGCGUGGGGA